AAUAGAACAGUUAUUCCAUAUGGCCAUGGAAUAUGGUUAUUUUUCAGUUAUAUGUGGAAUUUGUAUGGCACUAAUUUGUAGAAUAGUUGUUCUAUUACACAUCUAAAAUCUGAACUAAGAUUAAUAUAGCUAUUCAAUAUGAAAUAGCUAUUCCAUUCUCUUCCUAUUCAUGAGCCAAAUGAAGCAAUAGAUUUUUAAUCCACUAAAGAUAAUAAAUCAAGAUAUUCCAUUAACA
Molecule: unclassified non-coding RNA, 235 nt
Filed under: Hevea brasiliensis (rubber tree)
Lineage: Eukaryota; Viridiplantae; Streptophyta; Magnoliopsida; Malpighiales; Euphorbiaceae
Source: RNAcentral